RNAcentral lists this ribosomal RNA (445 nucleotides) under uncultured bacterium. RNAcentral's name for it is "bacterial SSU rRNA". It matches the Rfam family "Bacterial small subunit ribosomal RNA", at positions 354 to 796 of the family's 1533-position model. The record is from RNAcentral.
UUGAGGAAUAUUGGUCAAUGGGCGCAAGCCUGAACCAGCCAUGCCGCGUGCAGGAAGACGGUCCUAUGGAUUGUAAACUGCUUUUAUUUGGGAAUAAACUCCGGUACGUGUACCGGCCUGAAGGUACCAAAUGAAUAAGCACCGGCUAACUCCGUGCCAGCAGCCGCGGUAAUACGGAGGGUGCAAGCGUUAUCCGUAAUCAUUUGGUUUACAGGGUCCGCAGGCGGUCUUAUAAGUCAGUGGUGAAAGCCUACAGCUCAACUGUAGAACUGCCAUUGAUACUGUAGGACUUGAAUUCGAUCGAAGUGGGCGGAAUGUGACAUGUAGCGGUGAAAUGCUUAGAUAUGUCACAGAACACCGAUAGCGAAGGCAGCUCACUAGGUCUGGAUUGACGCUCAGGGACGAAAGCGUGGGGAGCAAACAGGAUUAGAAACCCGAGUAGUCC